UGGCUCUCGCAUCGAUGAAGAACGCAGCGAAUUGCGAUAAGUAAUGUGAAUUGCAGAAUUCAGUGAAUCAUCGAAUCUUUGAACGCACCUUGCGCUCCCUGGUAUUCCGGGGAGCACACCUGUUCGAGUGUCGUGAAUACCUCAAGCUGGAUGCUUUAUUGCUAUCUGUUGCUUGGAUUUGGACUUUGCCGUCGGCCUUUACUGGUGACGGCUCGUCUUAAAUGCAUUAGCUGACCCAUGUUGUAUGUUCGGUUCUACUCAGCGUGAUAAUUAUCUGACCGCUGAGGACAUUUGCCUUGUGCAGAUGGCCAGAUGUGCCUUGGAUUGCUUCUAAUCUGUACGCCUUCACGGGCGACGACCAUUUUCAAUUUUGACCUCGAAUCAGGUGGGACUACCCGCUGA
This 402-nucleotide unclassified non-coding RNA is filed under the name uncultured fungus. RNAcentral's name for it is "partial contains 5.8S ribosomal RNA and internal transcribed spacer 2". The stretch from base 1 to 133 matches the Rfam family "5.8S ribosomal RNA", at positions 22 to 154 of the family's 154-position model. Lineage: Eukaryota; Fungi. The record is from RNAcentral.